Molecule: small RNA, 2711 nt
Filed under: Pan troglodytes (chimpanzee)
Lineage: Eukaryota; Metazoa; Chordata; Mammalia; Primates; Hominidae
Description: processed transcript
Source: RNAcentral
AAUCGCUGCCCUCGGGGCCUCCAGCGCCGGCUCUGGGCCGAGGCAGCCGGAGCGCGGAAGAGGCCUGGAAAUCCACGCGGAUUCCCGGAGACGGCGCCUCUGCUCUGCGGGUUCGUGACGAGGAAGUCCACCCACUGCUCCCGGGCGCAGGUCUGCAGGUCCGCGCCCACUGCCCGCGGCGCCACUGACCAUGUCGGGGUCAUCCUCUCGAAGGUGUUCGAUGAAGUCAUUGAAGUGAAUCUAAUCGAUAGUGCCGACUACAUCCACCUGGCCUUUCUGAAGAGACCUGAGCUCGGGCUCACCCUCACCAAGCUUCACUGUUGGACUCUCACUCACUACAGCAAGUGUGUCUUCCUGGAUGCGGACACUCUGGUGCUGUCCAAUGUCGAUGAGCUGUUCGACAGGGGAGAGUUUUCUGCGGCCCCGGACCCCGGAUGGCCAGAUUGCUUCAAUAGCGGGGUAUUUGUCUUCCAGCCUUCUCUCCACACGCAUAAACUCCUGCUGCAGCACGCCAUGGAACACGGCAGCUUUGAUGGGGCAGACCAAGGCUUACUGAAUAGUUUCUUCAGGAACUGGUCGACCACAGACAUCCACAAGCACCUGCCGUUCAUCUAUAACUUGAGUAGUAACACGAUGUACACUUACAGCCCUGCCUUCAAGCAAUUCGGUUCCAGUGCAAAGGUCGUCCACUUUUUGGGGUCCAUGAAACCUUGGAACUACAAGUACAAUCCACAGAGUGGCUCGGUGUUGGAGCAAGGCUCAGCGUCCAGCAGCCAGCACCAGGCGGCAUUCCUUCAUCUCUGGUGGACGGUCUACCAGAACAACGUGCUGCCCCUUUAUAAAAGCGUCCAAGCGGGGGAAGCACGCGCGUCUCCUGGUCACACACUUUGCCGCAGUGAUGUGGGGGGGCCGUGUGCGGAUUCAGCCUCUGGUGUUGGAGAGCCGUGUGAAAAUUCAACACCCAGUGCCGGCGUGCCGUGUGCAAAUUCACCACUGGGUUCUAACCAGCCUGCUCAGGGCCUUCCGGAGCCGACCCAGAUAGUGGAUGAGACCCUGUCCCUACCUGAAGGACGCCGUUCAGAAGAUGUCGACCUGGCCGUCUCUGUUUCCCAGAUCUCCAUCGAAGAGAAGGUGAAGGAAUUGAGCCCCGAGGAAGAGAGGAGGAAGUGGGAGGAAGGCCGUAUCGACUACAUGGGGAAGGACGCGUUUGCUCGCAUCCAGGAGAAGCUGGACCGGUUCCUGCAGUAAUCCGGCAGCUGGUGGGCGUUGUGUGUAGUUAGACAAUGUCCUGUUGGGUGGUCCUGUUGCGUGGAGAUCUCCUCUGGUCCUUUCAAAGGGAAACGCUGUUGAACCUUGUGCCUCUAUUUAUGCUUAAUCCAUUUGAGUGCCUCACACAAAAAACGUAGAGUAUAGAAAUCCACCUUAAAGCCCCUCGCCCCAACUUCUCCACCAAUGCCUUCAGAGGUCACUUCUACCCUUGAACCUGUCGGCAAAAGCGAGCAGCAAUAACAUUCUAGUAGACCCUUGAUGGUGGUCUCCGCUCUUGCCCGACGGACCUCUGAAGUACGCUGGAGCUGUGUUGUACAGGUGCUGUGAGACCUACCCUAUUUAGAAUGAAACCUCACUGCCAAUUUCCUCCCAUCACGAAGCUAACAACACUAAUAUACGUAUUUAGCACCUCUGAGGCUUUGCCAUGGAGACCCAUUUCUGUAGGGCUAAGGAAACAUUUAGACGUGGUGACUGACUUUCAUUUGGACUAGGCGAAGCGUAUCUGAGAAACACCUCGGCUGUGGUCUCUCUGCUUUAAAUCCUAACAGGACUUCCUAGAGCGUUGACAGAAAUUCUACUCGUGGACGUUGGGAAGAAAGAUUGUAGGUGGCUUGGGGAAUGUGGGUGGCUUAGAGGAUCUAAACCGAUUCACUUCCUGGUUGAGAAGCAUCCAGGGCUUGGCCCUAAACGAUUUAGAGCAACAGUUUGCUCAGGAUAACAGGAUCUAGAGAUGCUCUCUGCUUGACAACAAAAGUCAGGGUGCAGUCGGUCCGCCCUUGACUGCUCUUGGCUUGGUCUCUACCCCCACUACCUCCGUUCUCAAUAACUUAGUGAAUCACUGCCCUCCUCAAAGCCAUUUCCACUCAGCUCUUUCCAGAGAAUUCUCAGUUUUAUGAGACGGGAAACUUUAUUUCACGAGAAAGCCUCGUUGUCAGAAGUAUCUUCAUUCAAUGGGCACAAUAUGCUGUGUAUCUCACCAGGUAGCUGUGUUUACGUGGAGAGGCGUGGCCACUUUUUAGGUCACCUGAAGCAGUUUAGCCUUUGGAUAGAGGAACCUGCCUGAAUUUAGGGCAUUAGUGGUGGCAUUUUUUUGUGUACAAGAUGUGGGUGAUGCAGGGGCUGUUUCUUUUUCCGUGUGGGUGGUUAAUAAUCGUCAGUCUCAGAGGGCGAUGCUCGUAGGAUAUUUCAGGGCUUAAUUUAAAAUAGCCAUAUGGAUACAGUCUCAGGUGAGUCAGGGUUGGAUGGUCAUCGGCUUUCAGACGGAGACCACGGGAAUGUUCAGGGAAAAAAUGUCAGCUUCUCUGAGGACCAGAAUUCAUGUUCAUGGGCAGUGAUGAGUUGGCUUAUGGAGUGAGUCCAGUCUGGAAUUCCGCCGUGCAUUCUAGCCUGUAUCAUCUCAUUUGGACAAAUGCUGGCACGUUGAAAUUAAAAUGUUAAAAAAC